RNAcentral lists this ribosomal RNA (528 nucleotides) under Serratia marcescens. Its description in RNAcentral is "bacterial LSU rRNA". It matches the Rfam family "Bacterial large subunit ribosomal RNA", at positions 1 to 563 of the family's 2925-position model. The record is from RNAcentral. Lineage: Bacteria; Pseudomonadati; Pseudomonadota; Gammaproteobacteria; Enterobacterales; Yersiniaceae.
GGGUUGUGAGGUUAAGUGACUAAGCGUACACGGUGGAUGCCUAGGCAGUCAGAGGCGAUGAAGGGCGUGCUAAUCUGCGAAAAGCGUCGGUAAGGUGAUAUGAACCGUUACAACCGGCGAUACCCGAAUGGGGAAACCCAGUGUGUUUCGACACACUAUCAUGUCAUGAAUACAUAGUGGCAUGAGGCGAACCGGGGGAACUGAAACAUCUAAGUACCCCGAGGAAAAGAAUCAACCGAGAUUCCCCAGUAGCGGCGAGCGAACGGGGAGGAGCCCAGAACCUGAAUCGGCUUGUGUGUUAGUGGAGCGUCUGGAAAGUCGCGCAGCAAAGGGUGAUAGCCCCGUACACUAAAAUGCACAGGUCGUGAGUUCGAUGAGUAGGGCGGGACACGUGACAUCCUGUCUGAAUAUGGGGGGACCAUCCUCCAAGGCUAAAUACUCCUGACUGACCGAUAGUGAACCAGUACCGUGAGGGAAAGGCGAAAAGAACCCGGCGAGGGGAGUGAAAUAGAACCUGAAACCGUGUAC